UCUCUGGUGGUCCAGUGAUUAAGACUCUGCACUGCCGAUGCAGGAGGCACCGGUUCGAUCCCUGGUUGGGGAA
RNAcentral lists this transfer RNA (73 nucleotides) under Bos taurus (domestic cattle). It matches the Rfam family "tRNA". Rfam says of the family: Transfer RNA (tRNA) molecules are approximately 80 nucleotides in length. Their secondary structure includes four short double-helical elements and three loops (D, anti-codon, and T loops). Further hydrogen bonds mediate the characteristic L-shaped molecular structure. tRNAs have two regions of fundamental functional importance: the anti-codon, which is responsible for specific mRNA codon recognition, and the 3' end, to which the tRNAs corresponding amino acid is attached (by aminoacyl-tRNA synthetases). tRNAs cope with the degeneracy of the genetic code in two manners: having more than one tRNA (with a specific anti-codon) for a particular amino acid; and 'wobble' base-pairing, i.e. permitting non-standard base-pairing at the 3rd anti-codon position. The record is from Rfam by way of RNAcentral. Lineage: Eukaryota; Metazoa; Chordata; Mammalia; Artiodactyla; Bovidae. RNAcentral also lists the same sequence under 1 other name.